Molecule: long non-coding RNA, 2123 nt
Filed under: Triticum aestivum (bread wheat)
Lineage: Eukaryota; Viridiplantae; Streptophyta; Magnoliopsida; Poales; Poaceae
Description: long non-coding RNA (TAES_LNC015159)
Source: RNAcentral
GGUUGGGUUCAUGGGCCAAACCCAAUAUUGCAUCCUUUUUUAUUGUUGGGCCGUGGCCUUUUUAAUCCAUCGAUUUUCUAGUUUCAGCCAUAUAUAUUGGAGCUGGGCCCACUAGUCAGACAAGCCCCACAUAUCAUAAUCUCAUACAUUGGUCCCACACAUCAGAUAUUUCAACAUUGCUCAGAUAUUUCAACAUUGUUCAAAUUACUUUGGUAAGUGGAUUCCACUAAUCAGGUUUCCAUUUCACACAUUUUUAAAUCACUAUUUCAAACAAAACAGAAGAAACGUAAUUUAUCAAAUAACCCUAAUUUUUUUACAAUGUUACAAUCUCUACAGCCUAUUACAGUCAAACAGAACAAACAAAUCUCUAGCAUCACGGCUUUGCACUUGGCUUCAUGGCUUUGCACUUCAAAUUUGUCCUGGCGCUCCUGUAAAAGAGUGAACACAAAGACUAACAGCAUUAGUGUACUGCUACUGAGGUCAGAACCAAACAAAUGCAAUGGCAACAGUAAUGCAAAGACUACCCACUAGUAUGUUCCAACUUCACCUUUCCCGUCCUGAAUUUCAAUACUAGAAAGGGCAAAUAAAACAACAUACUUACAUAGUGAAAUGUGUGCUUUUACAAAUCUUAUAGAAUAAUUUGUAUAAAUUAUGCAUUUAAUAUAGGCUUCAUGAAGAUGGGUAGAAAAAGAAGGUACUUCAACCACUUUGCACAACAAGAUCACAAGCAAGUCUAAGUAAACACAAGUUUAAUUUGCUGCAUAAUCAUUGACAAGUCACACAAAAUUUCAGUAAACUGUAGAUGCUCAAAAUUUCAAUAAACUUUGCAUAAAUAUUACUGCUGUUGGUUAGUAAUUGUUUCUUAAAAGUGAAAAAUAAAUAGAAUUUCAUGGCAAACUGCUUGUAGUUUACACUAUGCAAAAAAUGGCAUUCAACAUCCAAUUCAAAUUCAAUGAAGUUUUACUGAAUGUACAGUUUCACCAUAGACCAGUUUAUACAACCCCAAGGUCAGAAGUUUACCUUAAAUACAACCCCAAAUGAACUAGUUCCAACAGUGACCUACCAGCAUAAGAGUUGACAAUAAGAUUUCUCAUUUUGAAAUAUGCAAGAAACUAAGUUCAGUUUGCAAGGAAGCAAAUUCAGUUCAGUUUGCUUGCUUGCAACCAAACUAUACAAUUUUGCAAGCAAACAUACUGUACUAGUACUGAAAUAGGAACAAAUCGAGCAUCAGAUCCCACGCAGAUCAGGAAUACAGCAAUACAGUAUCAAAAAUAAACUACUAGAAUACAUAGAAAUUCCAUGCAGAUGAGUAAUUCCAUAAUACAGUUUCUUUUUUUGAAGAGUUGCAUAUCACUAUAAAAAUAGAUACAAUGUUUAAUUGCCCUAGGCAAGAACAGUAUAAUAAAGAACACAGAACAUACAAGGCAUGGAUCUAUCUAGCAAACCGUUUUAAGAACAAAUCACAUCAAGAAAUGGACAGUAAAGGCAAUCAUUUUAGAAGGCUUGGACUGCAUACACAAGUUGAUCAUGGAACUAACAGAAUUUAGCUUAUGCAGGGCAAACAUAAAUAACAGAGUUUAGCUUAUACACAAGUCAAUGUUGCUUCACUUAAACUGAGAAGCAAAAACUAGAGUACAAAAUAGUAACCAAAACAGUUACGUAUAUGGUAUAUCCCUAAGUAUUGUUAUAUGUUAAAAAACUGUCAAACAGGACCUGUUAGGCUAUUCCAUUGUUUUCCAAUUGGUUUCAACAAAGUGCUGUGAUGUAUGUGUCUUAAUAUAACUCCUAAGAAAUGUUCACAACCUGAAUUAACUACACUUUUUCUCAUUGAAGUGAACACAACAGCAGUUUAAUCAACAACCCCAUACUUAACUAUAGAAUGUUUCUUCUGAAUGCAUAGCUUAAAGGCGGGGCGGGGCUGAGAAUCAUCAUAACAGGAUAUGUAUAAAUAUAUGUAGAGAGAGAGAGAGAUCACCUUAACAAUAGAUGGUGGGCAUCCUCGCCGGAUCGGAGCAGCUUGUCCCUGGCCCUCCCCACGGGAUGGUACCAAACUGCACACACACCAAGCAAGAGAGCACGCAUCAGAUCAUAUGAGAAAAUGAACAAAAAAUAGAGAGGAGGAG